RNAcentral lists this ribosomal RNA (497 nucleotides) under uncultured bacterium. Its description in RNAcentral is "partial 16S ribosomal RNA". It matches the Rfam family "Bacterial small subunit ribosomal RNA", at positions 28 to 507 of the family's 1533-position model. The record is from RNAcentral.
GAUGAACGCUGGCGGCGUGCCUAAUACAUGCAAGUCGAGCGAACGGACGAGAAGCUUGCUUCUCUGAUGUUAGCGGCGGACGGGUGAGUAACACGUGGAUAACCUCCCUAUAAGACUGGGAUAACUUCGUGAAACCGGAGCUAAUACCGGAUAAUAUUUUGAACCGCAUGGUUCAAAAGUGAAAGACGGUCUUGCUGUCACUUAUAGAUGGAUCCGCGCUGCAUUAGCUAGUUGGUAAGGUAACGGCUUACCAAGGCAACGAUGCAUAGCCGACCUGAGAGGGGGAUGGGCCACUCUGGAACUGAGACACGCUCCAGACGCCUACGGGAGGCAGCAGUAGGGAAUCUUCCGCAAUGAGCGAAAGCCUGACGGAGCAACGCCGCGUGAGUGAUGAAGGUCUUCGGAUCUUAAAACUCUGUUAUUAGGGAAGAACAUAUGUGUAAGUAACUGUGCACAUCUUGACGGUACCUAAUCAGAAAGCCACGGCUAACUACGUG